CGCAUAUCACAUCUCCGACUCGUUCGUUCUUCGGAUCUCAAAGAUUUCGGAUCGGAGCUAUGAGCCGUGCAGGUUCCGUCGGAAAGGUUAAGUCCGAUGAUGAAAUAAAAAAUUUCGGUGUUGCUUGGCUUUGGGAUUUCGAAAACAUGUGGUUGGAGAACACGGAUCACCCUAGUUUAGAUCAACUUCGUGAGAACGUUGAUAAAGCACUGAAAACUCUCAACCCUCUCUAUUUCCUCCACGGCAAUCCCAUUGGCUAUGGAAAAGUAAAAAAAAAGUAAUAAAGCUGCUGUUAAGUAUCUGAGAAAAAAAGAUUUCACUUUUCACAAUGAGGAAACAAGAACUGUCCAUUGUUCUACGUGUGGAGUCAUGAUGCGACAAUCAAGUAUUUAUCCCAACGAUGAUCCUCACGAGAGGAAGACGGACAUAGCCGAUAUCUCUCUCGUGAAAGAGGCCAUCUUUCACGCUAUGGAUUCAAUUACUAAUGAAAAAGUCCCUCGCAACAUUCUUUUGGUAUCAAAUGAUAAAGAUUUCAAAUGCACUCUUGAAGCUUUGAAACUCAGAGGUUUUACAGUGAUGGCGGCAAUCGAAGCUAAAACUCCAAAUCACAUGUAUGCGGAUAUUUGUGGCAAUGGUACUUGGUGUUGGAAGGAGAUGGAGAAAGGAGGUAAGCAUAUCUCCAAAUCAAUCAUGAAAUAGACAAGGGAGAGUAUGAAGAGAAGAGAAGAUUGUUUUUACUAUGCUUUUGUUUUUAGUCUCUGCUUUCUAUGAACCGAUUCUUCCUUAUCAUGCUUCAUUAUCUAAUAGUAUACAUCAUAAUAAAAGAAUUAGGCUACUUGAUUUGACCUCUUGUGCACGGGUGAAAUAUAUUUGUUUUGUUAAUGCCAUUUCUAGUGAUCU
This is a long non-coding RNA of Arabidopsis lyrata subsp. lyrata, 900 nucleotides long. RefSeq lists it as uncharacterized. The record is from RefSeq and is a predicted model, not a curated record. The transcript has 3 exons. Lineage: Eukaryota; Viridiplantae; Streptophyta; Magnoliopsida; Brassicales; Brassicaceae.